This 804-nucleotide long non-coding RNA is filed under the name Capra hircus (goat). RNAcentral describes it as "lncRNA (ENSCHIG00000007171.1)". Lineage: Eukaryota; Metazoa; Chordata; Mammalia; Artiodactyla; Bovidae. The record is from RNAcentral.
UUAGCGUCACCUGGGAGGUCUGUAAAAACACAGAUUGCUGCCUGGAUCCCCACGUUUCUGACGUAGUUUGUCUGCUACGGAGCCCAGAAGCUGACCUUCCUGACAACUCCCCCAAAAGGGGCUGUUGCUGCUGGUCUGGCCACCACCCUUGAAGAGUCGCUGCUUUAAUAUGCAUACCAGAGAUACAGCACUUGAAGAAUGAUUGCUCGAGAGAGAUGGGAAAAGACCAGAGGGUGUGUUUGAUCCAGAGAAAGAGAAUGGGCAAAUUUGAGAGGAGCUUAUCUGCACUGGAGAUGACAGGAAAACAGCUUUAUAAACCAUUGUUAUAUGCUGGUAAGGAGGAUGCGCGAUUUAUACUUCAAAAGGAGGCUCCUGGAAGAACAGCCCCAAGACUGUCUCAGGAGAGGGUGGCCCUGACUGGAGGACAACAUCUCCCACGGGGCAGGAGGAGAGAAGGUACUUAUCAUCUCUUAAGUGGAUUUUUGCAAGAGCCUAUACACUGAUAUGGAGAAGGCAAUGGCACCCCACUCCAGUUCUCUUGCCUGGAAAAUCCCAUGGAUGGCGGAGCCUGGUGGGCUGUAGUCCGUGGGGUUGCGAAGUCGGACAUGACUGAGCGAGUUCACUUUCACUUUCCACUUUCAUGCAUUGGAGAAGGAAAUGGCAACCUGCUCCAGUGUUCUUGCCUGGAGAAUCCCAGGGACGGGGGAGCCUGGUGGGCUGCCGUCUAUGGGGUUGCACAGAGUCGGACACGACUGAAGUGACUUAGCAGCAGCAGCAGCAUACACUGAAAUAUCUGAGUCUGGU